Molecule: ribosomal RNA, 354 nt
Filed under: uncultured eukaryote
Lineage: Eukaryota
Description: partial 18S ribosomal RNA
Rfam family: Eukaryotic small subunit ribosomal RNA
Source: RNAcentral
CCCUUAGACGUUCUGGGCCGCACGCGCGCUACACUGAUCGAUUCAACGAGUUUUAUAAUAUUUUUGUUAAAAAUUUAUAUAUCCUUUGUCGGAAGGCAUGGGUAAUCUUUUAAAUGUCGAUCGUGAUGGGGCUAGAUUCUUGCAAUUAUUAAUCUCCAACGAGGAAUUCCUAGUAAACGCAAGUCAUCAGCUUGCAUUGAUUACGUCCCUGCCCUUUGUACACACCGCCCGUCGCUCCUACCGAUUGAAUGGUCCGGUGAAGCGUUUGGACUAUGGUUUUCUGAUGGUCCGCCGUUGGAUUACCGUGGGAAGUUCGUUAAACCUUAUCAUUUAGAGGAAGGAGAAGUCGUAACA